This 409-nucleotide ribosomal RNA is filed under the name uncultured bacterium. RNAcentral's name for it is "bacterial SSU rRNA". It matches the Rfam family "Bacterial small subunit ribosomal RNA", at positions 32 to 424 of the family's 1533-position model. The record is from RNAcentral.
AAUCAACGCUGGCGGCGUGCCUAACACAUGCAAGUCGAACGCGAAAGUCCCGCAAGGGAUUAGUAGAGUGGCAAACGGGUGAGUAACGCGUGGGUGACCUACCUUCGAGUGGGGGAUAACGUCCCGAAAGGGACGCUAAUACCGCAUAACAUCCUGCUUUUGAAUGGGUGGAGAUCAAAGCCGGGGAUCGCAAGACCUGGCGCUUGAUGAGGGGCCCGCGUCUGAUUAGCUAGUUGGNGAGGUAACGGCCCACCAAGGCAACGAUCAGUACCCGGCCUGAGAGGGCGGACGGACACACUGGGACUGAGACACGGCCCAGACUCCUACGGGAGGCAGCAGUGGGGAAUUGUUCGCAAUGGGCGCAAGCCUGACGACGCAACGCCGCGUGGAGGAUGAAGGUCUUCGGAUU